RNAcentral lists this ribosomal RNA (253 nucleotides) under uncultured bacterium. RNAcentral describes it as "partial 16S ribosomal RNA". It matches the Rfam family "Bacterial small subunit ribosomal RNA", at positions 524 to 776 of the family's 1533-position model. The record is from RNAcentral.
GACGUAGGGGGCAAGCGUUGUCCGGAAUCAUUGGGCGUAAAGCGCUCGUAGGUGGAUCGGUAAGUCUGCAAAGAAAGACCCGGGCUCAACUCGGGGAACGGUGUGGAUACUACCGAUCUUGAGGCAAUCAGAGGAUGAUGGAAUUCCCGGUGUAGCGGUGAAAUGCGUAGAUAUCAGGAGGAACACCGGUGGCGAAGGCGGAUCUCUGGGCCGAUACUGACGCUGAGGAGCGAAAGCGUGGGGAGCGAACAGG